UACGUAGGGGGCGAGCGUUGUCCGGAUUUAUUGGGCGUAAAACGCUUGUAGGCGGCCACAUCGCGUCGUGCGUGAAAUCUCCCGGCUCAACUGGGAGGGGUCGUGCGAUACGGAUGGGCUCGAGUCCGGAAGAGGAGAGCGGAAUUCCUGGUGUAGCGGUGGAAUGCGCAGAUAUCAGGAAGAACACCCGUGGCGAAGGCGGCUCUCUGGGACGGUACUGACGCUGAGACGCGAAAGCGUGGGGAGCGAACAGG
This 254-nucleotide ribosomal RNA is filed under the name uncultured bacterium. RNAcentral's name for it is "partial 16S ribosomal RNA". It matches the Rfam family "Bacterial small subunit ribosomal RNA", at positions 524 to 776 of the family's 1533-position model. The record is from RNAcentral.